GCUUGUGGCAGCCAAGCGUUC
RNAcentral lists this small RNA (21 nucleotides) under Arabidopsis thaliana (thale cress). RNAcentral describes it as "snRNA_16679". The record is from RNAcentral. Lineage: Eukaryota; Viridiplantae; Streptophyta; Magnoliopsida; Brassicales; Brassicaceae.